AAAAUUAAAAGGACGCGGUAACCUUGACCGUGAUAAUGUAGCAUAAUCAUUCGCCAUUUAAUUGAUGGAUAGUAUGAAUGGUUGAACGAAUAUUCCACUGUCUUAAAAAGAAAUACCAAAAAAUUAGAAUAAUAGUAAAGAUUCUAUUUAAAAUUGUAAGACGAAAAGACCCUAUAGAGCUUGACUAUAAAUUUUCUUUAUAACACAUUUAAAAAAGGAAGUCUGGUAGUUUAGUUGGGGCGACUGUCUUUUAAAAAUAACAAAGACAAGCAAAAAUUAAUAUUAAAAUUUAUUGUAUAAUUAAUAAAUUUAACAAUUACAAAAGUAGGCUAUAAUGACCCGUUAUUAUUAAAUAAGAAAAAUAACGAUCAAUAAAUAAAAGCUACCUUAGGGAUAACAGGAUAAUUUUAUUUUAGAGAUCUAAUCGAAAAUAAAGUUUGUCACCUCUAUGUUGAAUUAAGA
Molecule: ribosomal RNA, 462 nt
Filed under: Sertularella cf. fusiformis 2 CM-2011
Lineage: Eukaryota; Metazoa; Cnidaria; Hydrozoa; Leptothecata; Sertulariidae
Description: partial 16S ribosomal RNA
Rfam family: Bacterial large subunit ribosomal RNA
Source: RNAcentral